Molecule: small RNA, 735 nt
Filed under: Pan troglodytes (chimpanzee)
Lineage: Eukaryota; Metazoa; Chordata; Mammalia; Primates; Hominidae
Description: processed transcript
Source: RNAcentral
GCUACAACUUUUUCCACUUCUCUCAUCACUCCAAGCACCAGCUUUCUCAUCCUGCUUAUUUCACAGCCAUUUUAACCUUUCCCUGUUCACGCUGCACAUUAUUGAAUGUCCAUUUGUCUGCACCACCUCUGUCAUCUAUAGACCACCUCCUUCUGCUUUCCUGCUACAAUGCUUUGCGUACCUAAGUAUUUCGCAUUCUCCAGCUCUGCAGUCAUUGGGAAGAUUUUCUGUUUUUCUUUGCACUAUGGCAACCUUUCAGUCUUGGGUAAACUAGAGACUAGGAGAAGUGCACAUUGGGAAAAGUUCAGUUAGAAGACAUACUUCACCAUCUUGAAAAAGAAGAAAUCAAUCCCCUUGCUACUACAGAACAACAACUCUGUUUGGUGCUUAUUCCAGCCAGCACAGUGAAGACAGGCUGAGGACCGCUACCACAGAUGUAGAAGAGCUUAUAGUGAAGCACAUGGGUGAAACAAAAGAAGUGAGAACUAAUAGCAUAGAAUUUUAAAGACACCUGUGAUUUUGUUCAUUGCCCUUCAUUAAAUUGACAUAUUAAAAACUAAUGUUUGGCUAUCACUGUAUAGUUUGAAAAGCACCCACAUGUAGACUUUUUUUUUUUUCUAAUGAAACAUGGCGACAGUCUGUGUUGGUUUCCAUUAAGACUCCAUGUAUAGGAUGUUGCCCAGUGAUGACUGGCUGAACAUCUAAACAGGACUGCUCCAGGUAGCUUUUAUUAUC